UNUUAAACGGGAAGAUCCUUNCCCGGGNUAAAUCCUGGGUGACCUCUCCAGAAACGGAUUUCCCUUCGGGGCAGCCGGGACGGUGNUGCAUGGCGGUUGUCAGCUCGUGCCUUGAGGUGUUGCGUUAAAAGGCCCAACGAGCGCAACCCCCUUGGCUAGUUACCACCACGUAGUGGUGGGGAUUUUAGCCGGACUGCCUACGCAAAUCNUGAGGAAGGUGGGGAGGAAGUCAAGUUAUCAUGGCCCUUAUGUCCGGGGCUCCCCCCGUGNCAAUGGCCGGUGCAAAGGGAAACCACCCCGGGGAGGGGGGCAAAUCCNUAAAACCGUUUCCAGUUUGGAUUGGAGUUUGCAACUUGACUCCCNGAAUNGANUANUNAU
This 378-nucleotide ribosomal RNA is filed under the name uncultured bacterium. Its description in RNAcentral is "partial 16S ribosomal RNA". It matches the Rfam family "Bacterial small subunit ribosomal RNA", at positions 953 to 1325 of the family's 1533-position model. The record is from RNAcentral.